Molecule: ribosomal RNA, 253 nt
Filed under: uncultured bacterium
Lineage: Bacteria
Description: partial 16S ribosomal RNA
Rfam family: Bacterial small subunit ribosomal RNA
Source: RNAcentral
UACAGAGGGGGCAAGCGUUGUUCGGAAUUACUGGGCUUAAAGAGUUCGUAGGCGGCAUGAAAAGUAGGGUGUGAAAGCCCUCGGCUCAACCGAGGAAUUGCGCUCUAAACUGUCGUGCUCGAGGAAUCUAGAGGUGAGCGGAACUGAUGGUGGAGCGGUGAAAUGCGUUGAUAUCAUCAGGAACACCGGAGGCGAAGGCGGCUCACUGGGGAUUUUCUGACGCUGAGGAACGAAAGCCAGGGGAGCGAACGGG